GUGACGUAAUACACAAACUUUAAACACAGUGUUAAACCCGGAAACGAGACGCGUUGAACUACCACUGCUGAAAGGUAUGGACAAGGAGCUAUAAGAUAACAGUGGCUGGCUGUACCUGCUUACAGUACAUGAAAAGAUUAAUUAAGACCUGUACUCAAACCAGAAAUAAUAAAAAUGACAACAAAGGGGUUCUAUAAAUAUCCGGAUGGUGAGGAGUACAGUGGAGAAUGGCUUGAUGGUAAGAGACAUGGUAUUGGUAUGUUAUCAUUGGUUGAUAGUUCCCAGUAUGUUGGUGGAUUUGAGGAUGGUUUAUGUAGUGGGCAUGGUGUCAUGACAUUUCCUGAUGGGUCAAGGUAU
Molecule: long non-coding RNA, 357 nt
Organism: Saccoglossus kowalevskii
Lineage: Eukaryota; Metazoa; Hemichordata; Enteropneusta; Harrimaniidae
Source: RefSeq, a predicted model, not a curated record